RNAcentral lists this ribosomal RNA (253 nucleotides) under uncultured bacterium. RNAcentral describes it as "partial 16S ribosomal RNA". It matches the Rfam family "Bacterial small subunit ribosomal RNA", at positions 524 to 776 of the family's 1533-position model. The record is from RNAcentral.
UACGAAGGGGGCUAGCGUUGUUCGGAAUUACUGGGCGUAAAGGGCGCGUAGGCGGACAGUUUAGUCAGAGGUGAAAGCCCAGGGCUCAACCUUGGAAUUGCCUUUGAUACUGGCUGUCUUGAGUUCGGGAGAGGUGAGUGGAAUGCCGAGUGUAGAGGUGAAAUUCGUAGAUAUUCGGCGGAACACCAGUGGCGAAGGCGGGUCUCUGGGCCUUACCUGACGCUGAGGCGCGAAAGCUAGGGGAGCGAACAGG